AACGGCCCACCAAGGCGACGAUCAGUAGGGGUUCUGAGAGGAAGGUCCCCCACAUUGGAACUGAGACACGGUCCAAACUCCUACGGGAGGCAGCAGUGAGGAAUAUUGGUCAAUGGGCGAGAGCCUGAACCAGCCAAGUAGCGUGCAGGAUGACGGCCCUAUGGGUUGUAAACUGCUUUUAUAGGGGAAUAAAGUGAGCCACGUGUGGUUUUUUGCAUGUACCCUAUGAAUAAGGACCGGCUAAUUCCGUGCCAGCAGCCGCGGUAAUACGGAAGGUCCGGGCGUUAUCCGGAUUUAUUGGGUUUAAAGGGAGCGUAGGCCGGAGAUUAAGCGUGUUGUGAAAUGUAGAUGCUCAACAUCUGCACUGCAGCGCGAACUGGUUUCCUUGAGUACGCAUAAAGUGGGCGGAAUUCGUGGUGUAGCGGUGAAAUGCUUAGAUAUCACGAAGAACUCCGAUUGCGAAGGCAGCUCACUGGGGCGCAACUGACGCUGAAGCUCGAAAGCGCGGGUAUCGAACAGGAUUAGAUACCCUGGUAGUCCGCGCGGUAAACGAUGGAUGCCCGCUGUUGGGCCAACUGGUUCAGCGGCCAAGCGAAAGCAUUAAGCAUCCCACCUGGGGAGUAC
Molecule: ribosomal RNA, 624 nt
Filed under: uncultured bacterium
Lineage: Bacteria
Description: bacterial SSU rRNA
Rfam family: Bacterial small subunit ribosomal RNA
Source: RNAcentral